CGGGUGGAGCAGCUCGGUAGCUCGCUGCGGCUCAUAACCCAGAGGUCGCAGGUUUCAAUCCUGUCCCCUACUCCA
This 75-nucleotide transfer RNA is filed under the name Rhodococcus (subgen. Prescottella) equi. RNAcentral's name for it is "Rhodococcus hoagii tRNA-Met". It matches the Rfam family "tRNA". Rfam says of the family: Transfer RNA (tRNA) molecules are approximately 80 nucleotides in length. The record is from RNAcentral. Lineage: Bacteria; Bacillati; Actinomycetota; Actinomycetes; Mycobacteriales; Nocardiaceae.